CCCUGUCCUGUCCUGGCCGGGACUCCUCGGUCUUGGACUCGACCAAGCUUGGACGCAGUUGGAAUUGGCUUGGACUAGCUGUCGCUAUCGCUGCAGGGCAAUUAGAACAUUAUCAGGCGGCAAUAAUCGGCUCGUUUGCACCCAAGUGUCAUCGCUCGACUCGGACUGGGACUCAGACUGGGACUCAGACUCGGACUCGGUCGCCCGCUCGCUGUCGUAAUAAUAAAAGGCAUGGGUUGGGCAUUGGCAAUCUCUGUCUGUCUCUGUCUGCAUUCUGCUCUCAAUAUCUUGUGGAGUAUGUUGGCUGGAAAAACAACAGGAUAUCUGUGUGUGUCUGUCCGCCAUUCGGCAGUCUAUCUGGGGAAUGUCUUUUGUUGUCCACUAUACCAUUUCCAAAUGCAAUGCAAACCAGCAGUGAGGAGAGCAGUCAGCAGAGCAGAUAGGCAGGCGACAAUGUCGGCGGCGACAGUCGGGCAUCAAAGUCGAUUAUCACGGUUUUUGGGAUUUGCCUUAAAUCACGCACCAGUCAGCAGUCAGCAGACAGCAGCCAGCAGUCAGAGAUCUUCGGGGCUACAGCUCAAUUAAAAUUCUUGGAAUACGCUCAACACUUUCCAAGACCCCUCCCUCCUCCACUGUGUGCCCAUUGUCUGUGUGCUCGUCUGCACAAUAUUUUCGAGGCGGUUUUGUGGUUUUUGAUGUUCCUCUUCUGCGUCUCCCCCCAGGUCCUGCUAAUCUGCUAAAUUAAUGAUAAUGCGCGCGGCAAAGUCGUAAAUAUUGCAGCACCAGCAGCAGGAGAAUGCCGGAAUGGAUACUCGGCUGACCAUUGUCCGGGCCAGAGCCCGUUCGCGUCAGAGCCGGAGUCAGAGCCUGGCUGUGUCCUGUCCUGCUCGGGGGCGAAAAACAUUGGAAUCCAGCAAAUCCACCCGUCUUAGUUCUAAUUCUUUUCACAGUCCAGCGCAGCCCCUUGACAUGGCAGGGGAUUUGGCAGGAGAAGGCAGGAAGGGGAAAGGGGCGACUAGCCGUGCUCCAUGUCAUUCAAUUUGCAUUUGCAUGAGCAGACCUUGAAGCCCAGCUGGACCUUUUCCAUUGGAAAGAUAGCGGCUAUCGGAUGGGACUCUCGCCUGGCCAUGACUUGACCUACCCCCAAAGAUCAUCAUCGGAAUCGAGGCAUGCGCACUGAUCGGCCACUCUGCGAGAUGCCUCCCCCAAAAGCGGUUUUCCCAGCUGACCAGCUGUUGACCCACUGAGUAGCUGGCGGCCAUAUUUACAGAAUGGGGAUGGUGCUGGGGAUCUAUGGGAGGGCGGAUUUGAUGCCAAAGGGUGGCAUUGGAAACUCAUAAAAAAACAUAAAUUGCAAAUCUGCAUUAACUGACAAGCAAACGAAAUUCUUUUCUUUUUUAGAUAAAACAUUAAAGCAAAGAUAUUGAGCAAGGAGGACCCUGAGCAAGCCAUCGACCAAAGGAGGAGCAUCAGCUGGAGUAGCCAUCCGAGCCAGAGGAGGACAAGGUGGAGCCUCCUGUGAAUGAGAAAUUACAAAUCUGCAGGGUAUUCGAACGUCUGUCAACCCCAUGCUGAUGUCGGUGGUGUUUCCUUUUAGUUGUUUUCAACAGUCUGGCUUCGUCUAGUUGUCCGAGGUCCUAUGACCAGUGUCCGAUGUCCUGCUGCUGUGUCCCUGUGUGUUGUAUGUGUCACUUGGGUUAACUGUGCUACACACGGCACCGUGAGAUGGGUACUACAACCUCAUGCUGUCCUUCUCCCUGUCCCUGUCCAUGUCCAUGGCCAAAGCCAAGUCCAAGUCCAGCUGCUAACAUGUGACGAUGGCAAUUUGCAUUUCAGCGGGAUGCAGAGAGCGUCACUCUGCGGAGGGGGAGGCAGCCAGAGUGGGGGCCGGGCUGUCAGGACACAGACAACGCCAAGUAAUCCCCCAAAGAGAACAUUUAACAUACGGACUUCCAGACCCAGAGACAUGCAAAGUGAUUGAGUGGGGACCGGGACUGGGACUGGGACUGUAAUCGGAACAUGUGUAGAGAUAUUUAUUUAACAAACAUUGCGAAAUAUCAAGAGCGAUACCAGAGGCACGCAGUGGCAGUGGCAGUGGCAGGAAAGGAAAAGAAGGGCAAACAGGCGAAGGACAUCGAAGGGAAGGCACAACGACAAUCGAAAUGCGAAUGGAAAAGGAGAUGGGCGGAACACGAUGGCAAAUCAAAGGUGAAAAGAUGUGAAAAGCAAACGGAACGUGCACCGGGAGCAUUUAACCCAUACCCCAGCUUCGAGCAGAGCCCGGGCACCGGCCCGGACCCAGAUCCGGACCCGAGACCGUACCCAUUUCCAUUCCCAUAGCCAUAACUCCUCCCGGAGCCGGGAGUAAGCCGCUGUUGGGACACACAUGACGUAUUGGCACGAGUCCCUGAGAAGCGAGUUGCGAGGUCGCAGGAGCUCUGUUCUGUGUGCUCUACCGGCUCCGGCUCCAGCUCCGGCUCCGGGGCACUUGAAAGCCCGGGCGUAUCUUGAUUGUUUGCAUGUAAAUCUGCACGAAAUCCCCAAAGUACCCAAGUACCUAGAGUAUCCAAAGGAAGAGGAGACAGAGACAGAGAGAGAGAGAGAGAGAGAGAGAAAGUCCUUGUCGACUGCCACCGCCAUCGCCAUCGCCACCACCUCCGCUAUCCAUCCGACAACUGGCUCUAUGGAUGGAGCCGUCCCCGUAUCGUUACCCUGAUGGAGCCGCUCACCAUCAUCAUCAUCGUCAUGAUGGCCUUGGCGCAUCGCUUCCCAUCGCUCUGUAUCGCUCAGCAUCUCACGGCAUCGGCAUCGGCAUCGUGGCAAUCCCUUGCACAAUUGAACCGAGUCCUGUGUGGGCGAGUUACCUGCUUGAACCGAUCUGUGCCGACUCUGGGAAUACCCUGCAGACACUGCAGAUAUUUACAUAUAUUUGGUAGCUAUAUACAUACAUGUACGACAUAUUUUAUACUAUAUCACGCCACAAUUAAAAUCUUACAGGACCCUUA
Drosophila pseudoobscura is the source of this 3005-nucleotide long non-coding RNA. RefSeq lists it as uncharacterized. The transcript has 4 exons. The record is from RefSeq and is a predicted model, not a curated record. NCBI's taxonomy places the organism in Eukaryota, Metazoa, Arthropoda, Insecta, Diptera, Drosophilidae.